This 76-nucleotide transfer RNA is filed under the name Bacillota bacterium. RNAcentral describes it as "Firmicutes bacterium (anaerobic digester metagenome) tRNA-Ile". It matches the Rfam family "tRNA". From Rfam's summary of the family: Transfer RNA (tRNA) molecules are approximately 80 nucleotides in length. Their secondary structure includes four short double-helical elements and three loops (D, anti-codon, and T loops). RNAcentral also lists the same sequence under 1 other name. The record is from RNAcentral. Lineage: Bacteria; Bacillati; Bacillota.
GGGCCCAUAGCUCAAUUGGCAGAGCUACCGGCUCAUAACCGGUUGGUUCUAGGUUCGAGUCCUAGUGGGCCCACCA